This 474-nucleotide ribosomal RNA is filed under the name uncultured organism. RNAcentral's name for it is "bacterial SSU rRNA". It matches the Rfam family "Bacterial small subunit ribosomal RNA", at positions 29 to 507 of the family's 1533-position model. The record is from RNAcentral.
AUUGAACGCUGGCGGCAUGCCUAACACAUGCAAGUCGAACGAGGGUAGCGAUACCCUAGUGGCGGACGGGUGAGGAAUGCGUAGGAAUUUGCCCACGAGUGGGGGACAACCUGGGGAAACCCAGGCUAAUACCGCAUACGCUCGAAAGAGGAAAGCGGGGGACCUUCGGGCCUCGCGCUAGUGGAGGAGCCUACGUCCGAUUAGCUAGUUGGUGGGGUAAAGGCUCACCAAGGCGACGAUCGGUAGCGGGUCUGAGAGGACGGCCCGCCACACUGGGACUGAGACACGGCCCAGACUCCUACGGGAGGCAGCAGUGGGGAAUAUUGGACAAUGGGCGCAAGCCUGAUCCAGCAAUGCCGCGUGGGUGAAGACGGCCUGCGGGUUGUAAAGCCCUUUAGGCGGGGAGGAACGGCGGGGUGCCAAGACCACCUCGCGCUGACGUUACCCGUGGAAUAAGCACCGGCUAACUCCGUG